Non-coding RNA from Mus caroli (Ryukyu mouse), 1337 nucleotides. NCBI's taxonomy places the organism in Eukaryota, Metazoa, Chordata, Mammalia, Rodentia, Muridae. The record is from RefSeq and is a predicted model, not a curated record.
UUGGUUUUCCAGAGUCUAACUUCUUGAGUUCUUUGUAUAUAUUGGAUAUUAGCACUCUAUUGGAUGUAGGGUUGGUAAAGAUCUUUUCUCAAUCUGUAGGAUGCCGUUUUGUCCUAUUGGCAGUGCCCUUUGCCUUACAGAAGCUUUUCAGUUUCAUGAGGUCCUAUUUGCCAAUUGUUGAUCUUAGAGCCUGAUUCAUUGGUGUUCUGUUGAGGAAAAUUUCCUCUGUGCUGAUGUGUUCGAGGCUCUUAAUCGCUUUCUCUUCUAUUAGAUUCCGUGUAUCUGGUUUUAUGUUGAGGUCCUUGAUCCACUUGCUUUGUGCAAGGUGACAAAUAUGGAUCUAUUUUCAUAUUUCUAUAUACAGACAGCCAGUUAGACCAGCACUGUUUAUUAAAGAUACUUUCUUUUUUUCCAUUGUAUAUUUUUGGCUUCUUUGUCAAAGAUCAAGUGUGUGGUUUUAUUUCUGUGUCUUCAAUUCUAUUCCAUUGAUCAAUGUGUUUGUCUCUGUACCAAUAUCAUGCAGUUUUUAUCACAGUUGCUCUGUAGUACAGCUUGAGGUCAGGGAUGGUGAUUCCCCCAGAAGAUCUUUUAUUGUUGAGAAUUGUUUUCCCUAUCCUGGGUUUUUUGUUACUCCAGACGAAGUUGAGAAUUGCUCUUUCUAUUUCUGUGAAGAAUUGAGUUGGAAUUUUGAUGGGGAUUGCGUUGAAUCUGUAGAUUGCUUUUGGUAAGAUGGACAUUUUUACUAUGUUAAUCCCACCAAUCCAUGAACACGGGAGAUCUUUCCAUCUCCUGAAGUCAUCUUUGAUUUCUUUCUUCAGAGACUUAAAGUUCUUGUCAUACAGAUCUUUCACUUGUUUGGUUAGAGUCACACCAAGAUAUUUUAUAUUAUUUGUGACUAUUGUGAAGGGUGUUGUUUCCCUAUUUUUUUCUCAGUCCAUUUAUCCUUUGUGUAGAGGAAGGCUACUGAUAUGUUUGAGUUAAUUUUAUAUCCAGCCACUUUGCUGAAGUUGUUUAUCAUGAGUAGUGCUACGUGCUGCUAUCCUGACACUACUGAGUUGGACUGCUGAUAUAUCUGUGACGUGUCUGCAAGUAGAUCGAGCUGCUGCUGCUGACCUGUGAACUGAACUAUUGAUUUCUUGACAAUGCAGAUGUGAUUUGCACCAAAGAACCAUUUCUAAACAGGUUUGACAUUCUAAUGUUGCAUCGUAUUCUGUCAACCCGCACUGUAUGCAAUUACUAAAAUUGCAGGUAAAGGAUGUUCUAGAAACUUGGAAAUGAGGAGAAGAUGAGCCAUUCCUCUUAUUCACUUAGAGAUGUUAUGGCAUUUAAUACGUUUU